This is a long non-coding RNA of Panicum virgatum (switchgrass), 1744 nucleotides long. RefSeq lists it as uncharacterized. Lineage: Eukaryota; Viridiplantae; Streptophyta; Magnoliopsida; Poales; Poaceae. The transcript has 2 exons. The record is from RefSeq and is a predicted model, not a curated record.
CACGCACCAAAAGACGGGCAGCGGAUCGAGCCACGUCAUCCGCUAACCCUCUAGCCGUCGGAUCCAGCCAAGACACAAUAUAAGCCGUCCGAUCGGGGUCAUAGUGGGUCUAUCACCCAUUAAGCUGUCAACCCGGAUGGUGGCGAACCCGCUCGCGGGCGACUCGGCCUCUCCGGCCUCCGCCGCCGCCUCCCUUAUCCUCCGGGCGCCCGCGGGCGGGGUGCAGUGGCCCGGGGUGCGGGCGCCACGGGCACGGUGUUCACGGCCAUCCCGGCGGUCCGGAACUGGUGAGGGCGCCAGCGGCCAGGGCGACCCAGCGCAGGCAGGAUUGCGGGCGCGGCGGCCCCGGCAGCUGCAAUGCCGGAUAUCCAGGCGCGGGCAAGGACCCCACCAGCCCUUGCGACCCUGGCGCGGCCGGUGAUGCGGGCGUGGCGGCUCCGGUCACCUCGCAGCUGGCGGCCCGGCGCCGGUGUACGUCUACCCCACGUGCCUCCUCACCAGCCCGCCCCGCGCGCAGGGGACACCAUGAGGUCGUGAUGCCGCGGCUAGGAAGUGUGGCCGCGGCCAGGUCCGCGCCAGGCUCCUCCCUUGCAGCGGCGACCUCAAGGAACAGCACCGGCAUGGUGCCUGCGUAUGCUCAACAGCCGCACAUAAGGUGCUCGGCAAAAUUCCACUUCUGUUUGUUGAGAAAAAUUAGCAACCUUCUGCCUCCUUGUUCAAUUCCCCACUCUAUCCCUCAUUCAAUCGACAAUGGGAAGUCGUGGUGAGAUGAGCCUAAUCACACAUGCUUUGAAAGAAUAUUUUGCUCUGCUGCUAGAAGUUAGUUAGGGCAGCACUAGCAAGUAGCAACCUCCCUUUGAUUCCUUGCUGCAAUAACUUGAAGGUAGUUUCAGUGCCUAAAUCAUAUUCAGUUGCUCUCAGAGAAAUACUCGUGCAUUCUUUUUUGAAUAUAAUGCUUAAUUUUAAUUUGCAAGAAUAUGACAAAGUUGGUAGCAACCUCCCUUUAGUUCCUUGCUGCAAUAACCUGAAGGUAGCUUCAGUGCCUAAAUCAUAUUCAGCUGCUCCCAGAGAAAUACAAUGCUUAAUUUUAUUUUGCAAGAAUAUGACAAAGUUACUCAAUUAGUAGAACCUUUUGCCCUGUGCGCCGCCUGCACUCUUGGUCCUUCCACAUCAUACCACCUCCAAAGUAGCUAUUCUCGCAGGGCGAGGUCGCCGCCGAGCUCCUUGGCAACUUGCGUCACCUCCACGGCAGAUGGCCCGCGGGAACCAUACAGCACGUGAAAAGGACGUUGCACAUCAGUACUCCACUGCUGAGUUCUGACUCGAUGCAAAUUUUGGGUAUCGGUACAAGACACAAGACGACCGUGAUCUUUUACACUGGAUGCUCCGCAGAUCAAACAAUACUAUAUGGUUUGACUUCGGUAAGGAGGAGCUACUGCAUCAGCUACAGCCUACAAGUGCAAAGGUAAUCUUCUGAAAUUUGAAUGGAGGUUUUGUAGAACAAAGUAUAGACUAUUUUCUCGGCCUUCAUGUUUUAAAUGAACAGAUAAAUUAGCUGAUAGAACAAAAUUGCAAAGGAAUAGUAGUCCAUGGUGAAAUUCACUCAUCUUUGCUUCGUAAUUGGUGAGUAUACUACAUAAUGCUGUGCAUUGCACAUUUUCAGCCAUGAACAUGUUCGAUCAACUGAUUUCUACUAUGUUAUGGUAGUAGAAAGAAAACAAAGUAAUUGUGCAAGGCCAGCCCA